Molecule: ribosomal RNA, 1369 nt
Filed under: uncultured bacterium
Lineage: Bacteria
Description: bacterial SSU rRNA
Rfam family: Bacterial small subunit ribosomal RNA
Source: RNAcentral
GACGAACGCUGGCGGCGUGCCUAAUACAUGCAAGUAGAACGCUGAAGAGAGGAGCUUGCUCUUCUUGGAUGAGUUGCGAACGGGUGAGUAACGCGUAGGUAACCUGCCUUGUAGCGGGGGAUAACUAUUGGAAACGAUAGCUAAUACCGCAUAACAAUGGAUGACACAUGUCAUUUAUUUGAAAGGGGCAAUUGUUCCACUACAAGAUGGACCUGCGUUGUAUUAGCUAGUAGGUGAGGUAAUGGCUCACCUAGGCGACGAUACAUAGCCGACCUGAGAGGGUGAUCGGCCACACUGGGACUGAGACACGGCCCAGACUCCUACGGGAGGCAGCAGUAGGGAAUCUUCGGCAAUGGGGGCAACCCUGACCGAGCAACGCCGCGUGAGUGAAGAAGGUUUUCGGAUCGUAAAGCUCUGUUGUAAGUCAAGAACGGGUGUGAGAGUGGAAAGUUCACACUGUGACGGUAGCUUACCAGAAAGGGACGGCUAACUACGUGCCAGCAGCCGCGGUAAUACGUAGGUCCCGAGCGUUGUCCGGAUUUAUUGGGCGUAAAGCGAGCGCAGACGGUUUGAUAAGUCUGAAGUUAAAGGCUGUGGCUCAACCAUAGUUCGCUUUGGAAACUGUCAAACUUGAGUGCAGAAGGGGAGAGUGGAAUUCCAUGUGUAGCGGUGAAAUGCGUAGAUAUAUGGAGGAACACCGGUGGCGAAAGCGGCUCUCUGGUCUGUAACUGACGCUGAGGCUCGAAAGCGUGGGGAGCGAACAGGAUUAGAUACCCUGGUAGUCCACGCCGUAAACGAUGAGUGCUAGGUGUUGGAUCCUUUCCGGGAUUCAGUGCCGCAGCUAACGCAUUAAGCACUCCGCCUGGGGAGUACGACCGCAAGGUUGAAACUCAAAGGAAUUGACGGGGGCCCGCACAAGCGGUGGAGCAUGUGGUUUAAUCCGAAGCAACGCGAAGAACCUUACCAGGUCUUGACAUCCCGAUGCUAUUUCUAGAGAUAGAAAGUUACUUCGGUACAUCGGUGACAGGUGGUGCAUGGUUGUCGUCAACUCGUGUCGUGAGAUGUUGGGUUAAGUCCCGCAACGAGCGCAACCCCUAUUGUUAGUUGCCAUCAUUCAGUUGGGCACUCUAGCGAGACUGCCGGUAAUAAACCGGAGGAAGGUGGGGAUGACGUCAAAUCAUCAUGCCCCUUAUGACCUGGGCUACACACGUGCUACAAUGGUUGGUACAACGAGUUGCGAGUCGGUGACGGCGAGCUAAUCUCUUAAAGCCAAUCUCAGUUCGGAUUGUAGGCUGCAACUCGCCUACAUGAAGUCGGAAUCGCUAGUAAUCGCGGAUCAGCACGCCGCGGUGAAUACGUUCCCGGGCCU